This 583-nucleotide ribosomal RNA is filed under the name Azospirillum sp. Azo_LR15. RNAcentral describes it as "bacterial SSU rRNA". It matches the Rfam family "Bacterial small subunit ribosomal RNA", at positions 96 to 713 of the family's 1533-position model. Lineage: Bacteria; Pseudomonadati; Pseudomonadota; Alphaproteobacteria; Rhodospirillales; Azospirillaceae. The record is from RNAcentral.
UGGCGCACGGGUGAGUAACACGUGGGAACCUGCCUUUCGGUUCGGGAUAACGUCUGGAAACGGACGCUAACACCGGAUACGUCCUUCGGGAGAAAGUUUACGCCGAGAGAGGGGCCCGCGUCCGAUUAGGUAGUUGGUGGGGUAAUGGCCCACCAAGCCGACGAUCGGUAGCUGGUCUGAGAGGAUGAUCAGCCACACUGGGACUGAGACACGGCCCAGACUCCUACGGGAGGCAGCAGUGGGGAAUAUUGGACAAUGGGGGCAACCCUGAUCCAGCAAUGCCGCGUGAGUGAUGAAGGCCUUAGGGUUGUAAAGCUCUUUCGCACGCGACGAUGAUGACGGUAGCGUGAGAAGAAGCCCCGGCUAACUUCGUGCCAGCAGCCGCGGUAAUACGAAGGGGGCGAGCGUUGUUCGGAAUUACUGGGCGUAAACGGCGCCUAAGCGGCCUGCCUACCCAGAUUUGUAUUCCGCGGUGAUCCCUCCGCAAGUUCCCCUUCAGACACCUUGUUCUACUUUUCCGGAGAGGAUGGUGGAAUUCCCUGUGUAGAGGUUGAAAUUCUCAUAUUUUGGGUAUACUUCCCCU